RNAcentral lists this microRNA (25 nucleotides) under Homo sapiens (human). RNAcentral describes it as "hsa-miR-6797-5p". The record is from miRBase by way of RNAcentral. Lineage: Eukaryota; Metazoa; Chordata; Mammalia; Primates; Hominidae.
AGGAGGGAAGGGGCUGAGAACAGGA